UACGAAGGGGGCUAGCGUUGUUCGGAAUCACUGGGCGUAAAGCGCACGCAGGCGGAUUGAUAAGUCAGGGGUGAAAUCCCGGAGCUCAACUUCGGAAUUGCCUUUGAUACUGUCUAUCUUCGAGUUCGGGAGAGGUUGGCGGAAUUCCUAGUGUAGAGGUGAAAUUCGUAGAUAUUAGGAAGAACACCAGUGGCGAAGGCGGCAAACUGGCCCGAUACUGACGCUCAGGUGCGAAAGCGUGGGGAGCAAACAGG
RNAcentral lists this ribosomal RNA (254 nucleotides) under uncultured bacterium. RNAcentral describes it as "partial 16S ribosomal RNA". It matches the Rfam family "Bacterial small subunit ribosomal RNA", at positions 524 to 776 of the family's 1533-position model. The record is from RNAcentral.